This 1009-nucleotide ribosomal RNA is filed under the name uncultured Acinetobacter sp. RNAcentral describes it as "bacterial SSU rRNA". It matches the Rfam family "Bacterial small subunit ribosomal RNA", at positions 61 to 1064 of the family's 1533-position model. Lineage: Bacteria; Pseudomonadati; Pseudomonadota; Gammaproteobacteria; Moraxellales; Moraxellaceae. The record is from RNAcentral.
GUCGAGCGGAGAUGAGGUGCUUGCACCUUAUCUUAGCGGCGGACGGGUGAGUAAUGCUUAGGGAUCUGCCUAUUAGUGGGGGACAACAUUCCGAAAGGGAUGCUAAUACCGCAUACGUCCUACGGGAGAAAGCAGGGGAUCUUCGGACCUUGCGCUAAUAGAUGAGCCUAAGUCGGAUUAGCUAGUUGGUGGGGUAAAGGCCUACCAAGGCGACGAUCUGUAGCGGGUCUGAGAGGAUGAUCCGCCACACUGGGACUGAGACACGGCCCAGACUCCUACGGGAGGCAGCAGAGGGGAAUAUUGGACAAUGGGGGGAACCCUGAUCCAGCCAUGCCGCGUGUGUGAAGAAGGCCUUAUGGUUGUAAAGCACUUUAAGCGAGGAGGAGGCUACUGAGACUAAUACUCUUGGAUAGUGGUCGUUACUCGCAGAAUAAGCACCGGCUAACUCUGUGCCAGCAGCCGCGGUAAUACAGAGGGUGCGAGCGUUAAUCGGAUUUACUGGGCGUAAAGCGUGCGUAGGCGGCUUUUUAAGUCGGAUGUGAAAUCCCCGAGCUUAACUUGGGAAUUGCAUUCGAUACUGGGAAGCUAGAGUAUGGGAGAGGAUGGUAGAAUUCCAGGUGUAGCGGUGAAAUGCGUAGAGAUCUGGAGGAAUACCGAUGGCGAAGGCAGCCAUCUGGCCUAAUACUGACGCUGAGGUACGAAAGCAUGGGGAGCAAACAGGAUUAGAUACCCUGGUAGUCCAUGCCGUAAACGAUGUCUACUAGCCGUUGGGGCCUUUGAGGCUUUAGUGGCGCAGCUAACGCGAUAAGUAGACCGCCUGGGGAGUACGGUCGCAAGACUAAAACUCAAAUGAAUUGACGGGGGCCCGCACAAGCGGUGGAGCAUGUGGUUUAAUUCGAUGCAACGCGAAGAACCUUACCUGGCCUUGACACACUAGAAACUUUCCAGAGAUGGAUUGGUGCCUUCGGGAAUCUAGAUACAGGUGCUGCAUGGCUGUCGUCAGCUCGUG